RNAcentral lists this ribosomal RNA (200 nucleotides) under uncultured prokaryote. RNAcentral describes it as "partial 16S ribosomal RNA". It matches the Rfam family "Bacterial small subunit ribosomal RNA", at positions 1181 to 1382 of the family's 1533-position model. The record is from RNAcentral.
GAUGUCAAAUCAUCAUGCCCUGUAUGCCCUGGGCUACACACGUACUACAAUGGCCGUGACAGAGGGAAGCAAUAUAGAGAUAUAGAGCAAACCCAAAAAGCGGUCAUAGUUCGGAUUGAAGGCUGAAAUUCGCCUUCAUGAAGCAGGAAUUGCUAGUAAUUGCAGGUCAGCAUACUGCAGUGAAUACGUUCCCGGGCCUU